UGGGAAAGAGAGAUGUUAACUUUUCCCACCCAGUCAUCCAGUGGGCCAAGAACAUGGACAACUUUAUGUCUGGAUGUUUGCAGAUAGAGUUGGGAUAGUGGAACAUAAUCUUCCUUCCUUGUCUUUCCCCUCCCCACUCCAGGUUUCUUCCCAUAUUUGACUCUAGGAGCCUUUCAGUGCCCACUGACAGAGUUUACUGCCAUGUAACAGCAACUGCUAUCAAGCCUGACAAACUCACUAAACCUAACACAUUGCUUUCAUGAUAUUUAUCUAUAAAGAAUGUCAUGUAAGAUUUCAAAUGAAAGCCUGUGAAACACUGGCCAUUGAUAUCACUGCAUAAUGUAUAUAUUAACAUGGUAUGAGGAAUUAUGGAUACUUACUGAUACUAUACUUAACUUCUGUUAUCAGGCAAAGAGAGGAACAGGUUUUCUUCCAGAUAAGAGGGAGGAUAGUUAACUCCCCUCUAUUGGAAGUUGAGCAUGGUGAUGCCAGAGACAAUGGACAGUUCGUUUGCAGUGGAGGUAAACAGGAGGAGCAAAUUAACAUGAGGAUGUGAAAUCAGCAUGGAAAGAUGCUGGAGUCUGAACCCCAAGGGUCCAUCCUGACUCUGGUGACAAAAAAUAAUAAACUCUGGGGAAUAUAAGGAGAAGCAAAAAGACACUUUGGUUAUCUAUCGCUGAGGGAACAAAGAGGUGAGCGCCCUUUGCAUUAUGAAUGGUAGAUCCCCAACCAUGUGGGUUGCUGACACUGAGAAGUGCCUUAGGCAAAGGUUGUAACCUGAUGUGUUAAGUUUUAGCCACUAGAAAGCACAAUUAUACUUUUAUUUUAUUUGUAACCACUUUGUUUCUAUUGUCUCUGCUUAGUAUCACUUAAAUCUCUCUUCUUUAUUAAUUAACUUAUGCUUUUAUAAUUGUUGUACAGAAGUGAGGUGUGCACUCUCAGAUGAGCCAACAGGCUGGUGCGUAUCUGGUCUCUUUGGAGACAGCAGACUUGAUAUUGCUGUGGGCCUCCAAAACUGGGGUUGGAUUCAGCUGGGAGACACUUUUGGAGAGGUCGGGAACUGAAGUACACCAAGGGUUAACCUGCAAGAUGAAGUUAGGACUGGCAGAGUCCUAAGGAGUUUGUUUAGCUGGAGAUAGCAGGGAGCAGCCACACAGUGUAAGACCAAGAAAUCUUUCUUUUGCUAAGGCAGAGGGGUAACAGGGUGACUUAUAGACAGAGGCAGUGCUAGCCCAUUGGGGGCCCUAAACAGGAAUAUUUUUGGUGCCCACCACAACACAACAUAUAAUAAAAAUCAAAUAGGGGACCCCCUUGAGCGGCUUGGGGCCCUAAGCAAUUGCUUAGUCUGCUUAUGCCUAGUGCCAGCUCUGCUUACAGUUCUGGAUGCCCCAAGAAAGCAUAGCACCAGGUUACAAAGGAUUGUACACCGUGGUGAGAUGGCCUCUUCUCUGGACUCAGAAGUGGAUGUGCCCCGUCACAGCAGCCAGCAGUGAGGCUUAUCAUAAGGCCUUCUGUGGUCUCCCUAUUCUUAGUUUUCAUCCCAGGUGUAAACAAACCUGUCAGACCUCUUAUUAGGGAGGGGGAUGACAUUUUCCAUUCUUUUCAGCACAGACAUUUUUCAAUGUUUAUAAAUAUCUAUGUUGUCAUUCUUCAAUUUAUCAAAGUGUGUUUUCUCCCAACCAUCAGUUGUUCAGGUGUUUUGAAUAAUUCAGAAACCCUUUUUGACUUCAAACCUGGCAUGUGCUAGCUGCAGCCCUCAGUGAGGAAUGUGCUCUUUGCUGGGUUGAAAAGAUUAGAUGAGAAAUAAGUUACAACCCAGUAGGGGGAAAACAUGUUUCCCUAUAGACUGAAGUGCGUUGCAGAGUGUGGUUAUCCAGACAUACAGAUGUUAUGGCUCCCCGGGCAACGAUACUGUAACCUGGUUACACUGCACACAGGUUUUAAACUAUCAAAGACCUCAUAUACAAUAAAUCCAAAUGCUAUGUCGGCACAAGAAGCUGAUUGCAGUAGCUGUGGGAACUAGGAAUAUGAAUUUACUAGUUUUUGUGUAUUAAAUAGGGUAAAGGUUGGACUCCAGAGUGCUACCCAUUCCACUGUUCUUUCAUUCCUUUUACAGUUGGCUGAAGUCUUGCUUUUACUUAGAAACCCUAUUUGUUGCUCUGCCUUAGACUUUUUUAAUCAUAUUGACAACCUAACCUUACAAAAAACAGUGUCAGUGCAUCUCUGUAGGAAAGUGUCAUAGCCACAUAGACAUAGGGAUUGGAUUUUAAUUAUAGCUAUAAAUCUCUAGCUAUAAUGAAGGGUCUGUCAGUGUAUCCACUCUGUUCAUAUGUAUAUUCAGAGGGUUAAAAUGUAUUGGUGCACUUUCAUUCUGGACUGAAGUAAGGCGAGCAAAGUCUCAGCAUGCGCAUAAUUAAUGACUUUCGACUCAGUUUGUUGACAGAUCAGUUCAACUGUCUAAAUUGCAGAUGUGCAAAGAGAGGCAGGGUUGAGCUUUUGCAUACUUUCUAUUUUCACAUUUAUAAAUAAGAAAUUGCCUCCAUUGCAAAAAUGAAGUGUCAUUGCCUUUAGCUAAUACAGAGCAGCUGACACCUCCAUGAAAAGUUUGAAAUGUUCCUUUGAGAACAGUGAGACAGCAUCUGUCUCAAUCUGGUAGUGGUCAGAGCAUACAAGUGGGAGCCAAGAGUUCCGGAGACUGAGAAGCUGAGACAAAAGCUCAAAGACUUGACAUUGAAGCAUCUGUCAUUCUUACUGAGCAUGUCUACUCGGCGUGGAUAAUUACUAAGUUCUAACUGAACAAGCCAAUCCUGUUCCCAUGGAAGUUAAUAGGGGUGCUAUUGAUUUCAUUAGGCACAGUACUGGGUCCUAAACUAGCAGAAUCCUCUCCCAGCAUAAAUAAACCCUGAGAUACUUUUGGGGAUGGUCUUUCUCUGGUUAUUCCAAAGACCUGGAUAGGAAAUUGAAAGGUUUAUCAGAGGAUAUUACAAAACCUAAUGCCUCCUGUGACAUGGAUGCCUGUGGAAUAAGGUCUUUUUCCAAGUAUUUCUAAAGCAAUACGUUGUAGUAUCUAUGCACUGUCACUUAAUUUUUACCUCAGUUUCCAAUUCUGUAAUAUUGAGUAAUAUCUACCUACAUCCCAGAGAGAUUUGAGGAUUAAAUUGUUAAUUUUUGUAACUAAUGCUUGUGUCCCCAUAACCAAUUCAGCCAUUUGGUCCUACUCCCCUUUGCAUGAAACCAUCUCAAUGCACCAAGUCCCCAGUCACUGCUUUUUAAAUUCCCUUUUAAAGACCCGCUCCUCCUAGAGAUUCUUAUUUAAAAAAUAAAUAAAACUUGAGAGAUGAAGAGGAAAUAAAGGAGCUUCUGCCUCUGGCUCUUCCAACUUGUCUUACCUUUCUGGAUCUGUCUUCUAGAUGGUAAACUCUCCAGGGCAAGAAUUUUUGAUAUUUGAGUCUUGUACAGCACUGAGCCCAUUGUUGGCACCUUACUAAUAAUAAUGGUAAAGUGCUUUGAAGAAAAGGGAGUAUUAUUACUCUAAGCAAGAUCAUCUAGAUCUUUUCUCUCUAUAUUUCUUUCUCUGGUUCUUCUGUUUCUCUCUUUCUCUCAUUCUUUAUUCCUAAAUAUAUUUGAAAAUAAUAAAGGAGCUGGGCAAAGUAAUACAGCAAAUGUAGAUGCCACCAUGUAAUUUUUCACAAAGUUUUGGAAGCUGUACGUUUGUUUAACCCUUUUAGCUUUGGAUGUAGGAUUUCUUUUGGCAUCUAAACAUCCUUAUUUUUGCCUAGUCUCUCAUUUCACCUUUCUGUCUUGCAAACUACUCGAGAAGCUGAAGCCUUCAUAAUAUAUAUUAUUAUAAACAACUUCCAGCUGGUUAAGUAGGUAUACUGUGAAUUAAUUUUCAUGGCCUGGGACUGUGAGUUUAAGAUAUGAGGCUGCAGAUUACAUCAGUUGAUUUCAUAGUAUGAUCAUAGAAUCAUAGAAUAUCAGGGUUGGAAGGGACCUCAGGAGGUCAUCUAGUCCAACCCCCUGCUCAAAGCAGGACCAAUCCCCAACUAAAU
Dermochelys coriacea (leatherback sea turtle) is the source of this 4052-nucleotide long non-coding RNA. RefSeq lists it as uncharacterized. NCBI's taxonomy places the organism in Eukaryota, Metazoa, Chordata, Testudines, Dermochelyidae. The record is from RefSeq and is a predicted model, not a curated record. The transcript is spliced from 3 exons.